Molecule: ribosomal RNA, 253 nt
Filed under: uncultured bacterium
Lineage: Bacteria
Description: partial 16S ribosomal RNA
Rfam family: Bacterial small subunit ribosomal RNA
Source: RNAcentral
UACGGGGGGGGCAAGCGUUGUUCGGAAUUACUGGGCGUAAAGGGCGCGUAGGCGGUUCGAUAAGUCAGCUGUGAAAACCAUGGGCUUAACUCAUGGCCUGCAGUUGAGACUGUCGGGCUGGAGUGUGGGAGAGGAGAGUGGAAUUCCUGGUGUAGCGGUGAAAUGCGCAGAUAUCAGGAGGAACACCAAUUGCGAAGGCAGCUCGCUGGGACGUUACUGACGCUGAGACGCGAAAGCGUGGGGAGCAAACAGG